UUGGCUUACCUUCAACAUGAGGCAAUCAGACAACUAUUACACAUGUCUGAAGAAGAGUUUGGACUUCCAAGUGAUGGCCCUAUCACAUUACCAUGUGAUGCACAGUUCAUGAUCUAUAUCAUAUCACUUAUCGAAAGAGGUCUAUCUGCAGAUCUUCAGAAUGCUUUGCUUGUUUUUGUACCUACAAGUCGAUGCUCAUCAGCUUCAUACCUUCAAGAAAAACGAAACUCGCAAUUGCUAGUUUGUUAAUCUAACUUUGAUAAGUUUUGUAGUGGAUAUAUGAUACUCAACAAGUGUAGAGAAUGUUAACAUUUAUAUACAUCAUUUUCUUGACUCCAACUUGUGCUAUUCUUUGACAUGUUAGAAAAAAAAGUGAUUUCUUUCCGUCUAUAUCUGUCUAAUUUUUGGAUGACAUAGUUACUUAAUAUCUUGUUCUAUUCCUCGUGUUGUUUGGAAAGUUAUUCGAUACUUGUAUUGGAAGAAGGUAGCAAGUAUUACGUAGAAUAGUUGAGGUGCGCAUAAGUUGACCCAAACAACACCAUAUAAAUGAAGUAAGCUGACAACUUUGAUAAAUAUAUUUCGGAACUAAUAAAAAUUUGCGAACAAUAGAUAAACAUAGGUCCUUAGAUGAUUUCAGAAAGAAAAAAAGCAUGUCUUGAUCAUAUAUAAGCAAAUGUUAAAUAAGUGAUUUCGGAGAGAUCAAACUUUCUGUAUAAACAAUUCCUUCCUGGAAUGCAGAUUGAGACCCAGACAAUCCAACUAAUUGUCCUUUGGAUGUCCUAAAUACAUGACCAUAGCAACUUUGCCUACGAAAGUCAAGGCUACACCUUAGUAGCACAUCACCAUCUGCAUACCUAUAUUUCGGUGUAAUAUUAUAAGAAUCAGAAGCACGUAAUGUGAACAAUUCAGUCCAAGAUUCCACAACACCAUACUCUUUCAUUCCCCACAACUGAAAAGUAACGGGCUGAUCUCGAUGAUAGUUAUCUGUAGAAUAAAAGCAAAGCAUUCCUCCCAAUACUGAAAUGCCAUAAUUGGAGCUUUGUUUGUGGUCAAAUCUAUAUAUUCGCUCUAGCAAUGGUAUAUCUCCGUACACCUCAUUUGAAGUACUAAAUGAAACCACAGAAUAAUUAUACGAACGACCUAGCCAAUGAAAUGCUCCACCUACAAAUACCAUGGGACUUAUAGUGAAAUCUUGAUAAUAUGGAUGAAUCUCCAUUUGAGAUCCUGUCUUAGGGCAUACAAUAGUUGGAAAGUUAAAAAUACUUCUCCACGAACGACUUUUUAGCGUGAGAAUCUCAAGGGCUGGUUCUAUGCCACCCCUGUUCACCUUAAGGAUCUUAUAGUUAUCACUAAUUGCGUCAUAUCCAAAUCCAAAAGUAGUAUACUCUAGUUUAAAUGGUGUAUAGGGAAGUGCUAGUUUUGUCGAUUCUCUCGUGAAGUGGUUCCACAACAAAAGUUGGUCACCAAAUGAAUAAUUAAGUCCAAGAAGAACCAAACCAUCGCAACAAGAAUAAAUAUUGGCUCCACCAAACGGUGUGCAUUUUGAAGGGCGAUUUUGUGCAUCCCGAAUGAGUUGAUCAGUCGAUAGAGAAAAACAAAAGAAGUUAAACAAACCAGAAGCAAAACUUUCACGAACAAGAAGUUUUUGGGAGUUUAAGUCAUUCUUGGCAUGACUGAGAUGCUUCAUCUUAAAGUAUGACUCGGAGAUUAACGUCUUCCAAGAUUUUGAAACACAUUUGAAUCGAAGAAGAGACCUCACGGGUGACCUGAUGAGGAUGUCCAUAAUUAUACCUUCUUGGUAUUGAAUUUCCAUUGCCUAGAUAGGACAAAGCAAGUGCUUUAGUAUUUCACAAGUUAAAGACAUCAAUCUUUUGGACAAACACACAUUCCAACGGCGGGGAAGCAGGGGCGGAGUCAGAAUUUUCACUAAUAUAAAAAAGUAUACACACAAAAAGUCAAGAAUAUUCAACAUUAACUACAUAUACAUAGAAGCAGAAACAAAGCCUAUCGCCACGCCGACCAUCAAAUACGAGAUUUUUUAAAGAAGAUAGGUAUAGAAACUAUAGUCCAAUCAACGAUAAACAAAAUUGUAACAACAUUGAAAUCAAAACUCACUUGAUGAUCAACAAUAUCUAUUAGCUUUAUGGCUGCUUUACAACUCUCUUCCCUGCAAAUUAAUUAAAAAAUAUAGUGGUCAGAGUUACGGAUUCAUAAUUUUUAGUUUAUGAAUUUUGAAUAGAUUACAUAUUAAACAAAUUUGUAACAUAAUUACAGGGCUUGUGCCAAAGCUACUUGAUUCUGCCGAACCAAAUAAUGGCUCCACUUGGGGGUUAUUCUAAUGUAAUUAACUGAAAAAUUACACGGUAUAUAUACAAGGUAAAAUUCUGCUUCUUCAUGAAUAUUUGAAUCCCCUUAGUGAAGAUACGAACUAAAAGAAAUUAAUUACCUUUGCAAAUUUGAUUGAACUUGACAAUUUGAAUGUAAGCGUUGUUUAAAAAAAAGAAGAGAAAAAAUGCAGUUGGAUGCUAGGGUUUAUAAUAGUCACGAAUUGGACUUGAGG
RNAcentral lists this long non-coding RNA (2560 nucleotides) under Solanum tuberosum (potato). RNAcentral's name for it is "long non-coding RNA (STUB_LNC010362)". The record is from RNAcentral. Lineage: Eukaryota; Viridiplantae; Streptophyta; Magnoliopsida; Solanales; Solanaceae.